RNAcentral lists this transfer RNA (75 nucleotides) under Candidatus Omnitrophota bacterium. Its description in RNAcentral is "tRNA-Asn". It matches the Rfam family "tRNA". Rfam says of the family: Transfer RNA (tRNA) molecules are approximately 80 nucleotides in length. Their secondary structure includes four short double-helical elements and three loops (D, anti-codon, and T loops). Further hydrogen bonds mediate the characteristic L-shaped molecular structure. tRNAs have two regions of fundamental functional importance: the anti-codon, which is responsible for specific mRNA codon recognition, and the 3' end, to which the tRNAs corresponding amino acid is attached (by aminoacyl-tRNA synthetases). tRNAs cope with the degeneracy of the genetic code in two manners: having more than one tRNA (with a specific anti-codon) for a particular amino acid; and 'wobble' base-pairing, i.e. permitting non-standard base-pairing at the 3rd anti-codon position. Lineage: Bacteria; Pseudomonadati; Candidatus Omnitrophota. The record is from RNAcentral.
UCCUGGGUAGUUCAACCGGUAGAACAUCUGGCUGUUAAUCAGAAAGUACAGGUUCGAGUCCUGUCCCAGGAGCCA